Molecule: ribosomal RNA, 475 nt
Filed under: uncultured bacterium
Lineage: Bacteria
Description: bacterial SSU rRNA
Rfam family: Bacterial small subunit ribosomal RNA
Source: RNAcentral
AUUGAACGCUGGCGGCAUGCCUUACACAUGCAAGUCGAACGGCAGCACGGGAGCAAUCCUGGUGGCGAGUGGCGAACGGGUGAGUAAUAUAUCGGAACGUGCCCAGUCGUGGGGGAUAACGUAGCGAAAGCUACGCUAAUACCGCAUACGAUCUAUGGAUGAAAGCGGGGGAUCGCAAGACCUCGCGCGAUUGGAGCGGCCGAUAUCAGAUUAGGUAGUUGGUGGGGUAAAAGCCUACCAAGCCUUCGAUCUGUAGCUGGUCUGAGAGGACGACCAGCCACACUGGGACUGAGACACGGCCCAGACUCCUACGGGAGGCAGCAGUGGGGAAUAUUGGACAAUGGGCGCAAGCCUGAUCCAGCCAUGCCGCGUGAGUGAUGAAGGCCCUAGGGUUGUAAAGCUCUUUCACCGGUGAAGAUAAUGACGGUAACCGGAGAAGAAGCCCCGGCUAACUUCGUGCCAGCAGCCGCGGUAA